AUUGAACGCUGGCGGAAUGCUUUACACAUGCAAGUCGAACGAUGAAGCCUAGCUUGCUAGGUCGAUUAGUGGCGAACGGGUGAGUAAUAUAUCGGAACGUAUCCAAUAAUGGGGGAUAACUAGUAGAACGAUUGGCUAAUACCGAAUACAUCCUACGGGAGAAAGCUGGGGAUCGUAAGACCUUGCGUUAAUGGAGCGGCCGAUAUCUGAUUAGCUAGUUGGCGAGGUAAAGGCUCACCAAGGCGACGGUCAGCAGCGGGUCUGAGAGGACGACCAGCCACACUGGAACUGAGACACGGUCCAGACUCCUACGGGAGGCAGCAGUGGGGAAUUUUGGACAAUGGGCGAAAGCCUGAUCCAGCCAUUCCGCGUGAGUGAAGAAGGCCUUCGGGUUGUAAAGCUCUUUCGCAAGGGAAGAACACUUACUUAAUAACACUAAGUGAGGUUGACGGUACCUUGAUAAGAAGCACCGGCUAACUACGUGCCAGCAGCCGCCGUAA
RNAcentral lists this ribosomal RNA (500 nucleotides) under uncultured bacterium. Its description in RNAcentral is "partial 16S ribosomal RNA". It matches the Rfam family "Bacterial small subunit ribosomal RNA", at positions 30 to 523 of the family's 1533-position model. The record is from RNAcentral.